This 279-nucleotide ribosomal RNA is filed under the name uncultured bacterium. RNAcentral's name for it is "partial 16S ribosomal RNA". It matches the Rfam family "Bacterial small subunit ribosomal RNA", at positions 506 to 784 of the family's 1533-position model. The record is from RNAcentral.
UGCCAGCAGCCGCGGUAAUACGUAGGGUGCAAGCGUUAAUCGGAAUUAUUGGGCGUAAAGCGUCCGCAGGCGGAAACAUAAGUCAGUUAUUAAAUACCGGUGCUCAACAUCGGUGCUGUAACCGAAACUGUGUUUCUAGAGGAUGGGAGAGGUAUAUGGAAUUGUGCAAGUAGGGGUAAAAUCCGUAGAUAUGCACAGGAACACCAAAAGCGAAGGCAGUAUACUGGACCAUUCCUGACGCUCAGGGACGAAAGCGUGGGUAGCAAAAGGGAUUAGAUA